GUUAUAUCAGCUGUGUCGGUGAACCCCUCCCGCAUCAGAACUGGCUACAUAGAGGACACAGCAUGAUCAGAGGGGUGGACCUCGCAAAAUCCAGGAAUGGCAACAGCUGGUGUCUGACUGCGACUGAUUAUUUCUGUGGUUCUCCUGAGGUCAUCUUGAGUGACCGAGGUCGUGAACUCUGGAACAAGGUUUGGAUGAAUGGACCAACCACACCCUCAAGACUGCCAUGGCCAAGUCCCUUGACGGGUUCCUGGAAUGGUGGGAGGACAACCUGAAGGUCAUUCCCUUUGCACACAUCAGCAGCAUCCAGGCCUCCAGAGUACUCACCCUAUCGCCUGCUGUAUGGACGGGAGCUGCAGCUGUUGACUGAG
Molecule: long non-coding RNA, 371 nt
Filed under: Salmo salar (Atlantic salmon)
Lineage: Eukaryota; Metazoa; Chordata; Actinopteri; Salmoniformes; Salmonidae
Description: lncRNA (ENSSSAG00000082641.1)
Source: RNAcentral